CUCUCGGCAACGGAUAUCUCGGCUCUCGCAUCGAUGAAGAACGUAGCGAAAUGCGAUACUUGGUGUGAAUUGCAGAAUCCCGUGAACCAUCGAGUCUUUGAACGCAAGUUGCGCCUGAAGCCAUUAGGCUAAAGGCACGUCUGCCUGGGCGUCACGCAUCGCG
Molecule: ribosomal RNA, 163 nt
Filed under: Cerinthe minor
Lineage: Eukaryota; Viridiplantae; Streptophyta; Magnoliopsida; Boraginales; Boraginaceae
Description: 5.8S ribosomal RNA
Rfam family: 5.8S ribosomal RNA
About the family: 5.8S ribosomal RNA (5.8S rRNA) is a component of the large subunit of the eukaryotic ribosome. It is transcribed by RNA polymerase I as part of the 45S precursor that also contains 18S and 28S rRNA.
Source: RNAcentral